UACAGAGGUGGCAAGCGUUGUUCGGAAUUACUGGGCGUAAAGGGCGCGUAGGCGGCUUUUUUAGUCAGACGUGAAAUCCCCCGGCUUAACCUGGGAACUGCGUCUGAUACUGGAAAGCUUGAAUGCGGGAGAGGGAUGUGGAAUUCCAGGUGUAGCGGUGAAAUGCGUAGAUAUCUGGAGGAACACCGGUGGCGAAGGCGGCAUCCUGGACCGACAUUGACGCUGAGGCGCGAAAGCUAGGGGAGCAAACGGG
This 253-nucleotide ribosomal RNA is filed under the name uncultured bacterium. Its description in RNAcentral is "partial 16S ribosomal RNA". It matches the Rfam family "Bacterial small subunit ribosomal RNA", at positions 524 to 776 of the family's 1533-position model. The record is from RNAcentral.